UGGUGAUGUGUUUGAAGUUCUUACUUUACUGAACAUUCUUGCUUCUACAAUUAUAUCUAUAAUGACUUGCCCAUUAGUAACAGAGAAAAAUAUUUGGUAAAAAUUUACAUAAAUUUACCAAUUAAUGAAAAUUGUUAAAAAUUGACUAUAAAGGGCAAUAACUCCUUAAGGGGUCAAUUGACCAUUUAGGUCAUGUGGACUUAUUUGUAGAUCUUACUUUGAUGAACAUUAUCGCUGUUUACAGUUUAUCGCUAUCUAUAAUAGUAUUCAAGAUAAUAACCAAAAACAGCAAAAUUUCUUUAAAAAUUACCAAUUGGAGGGCAGCAACCCAACAACCGGUUGUCCAAUUCAUUUGAAUAUUU
RNAcentral lists this long non-coding RNA (362 nucleotides) under Mytilus galloprovincialis (Mediterranean mussel). Lineage: Eukaryota; Metazoa; Mollusca; Bivalvia; Mytilida; Mytilidae. The record is from RNAcentral.